Molecule: ribosomal RNA, 402 nt
Filed under: uncultured organism
Description: bacterial SSU rRNA
Rfam family: Bacterial small subunit ribosomal RNA
Source: RNAcentral
UGGGGAAUAUUGCACAAUGGAGGAAACUCUGAUGCAGCGACGCCGCGUGAAUGAUGAAGGCCUUCGGGUCGUAAAAUUCUGUCCUUGGGGAAGAUAAUGACGGUACCCAAGGAGGAAGCCCCGGCUAACUACGUGCCAGCAGCCGCGGUAAUACGUAGGGGGCGAGCGUUGUCCGGAAUUAUUGGGCGUAAAGGGUUCGCAGGCGGUCUGAUAAGUCAGAUGUGAAAGGCUAUGGCUCAACCAUAGCAAGCAUUUGAAACUGUCAGACUUGAGUUAAGGAGAGGAAAGUGGAAUUCCUAGUGUAGCGGUGAAAUGCGUAGAUAUUAGGAGGAAUACCAGUGGCGAAGGCGACUUUCUGGACUUAUACUGACGCUGAGGAACGAAAGCGUGGGGAGCAAACAG